This is a long non-coding RNA of Leptinotarsa decemlineata (Colorado potato beetle), 800 nucleotides long. Lineage: Eukaryota; Metazoa; Arthropoda; Insecta; Coleoptera; Chrysomelidae. The record is from RefSeq and is a predicted model, not a curated record.
CUAAGUGGUUUUAUCACUUCCGUGAACUGUAGAAAAUUGCCAUGUAUCACACAAGAUGGUAACAGCUUUACAGCAUCGUGUACACGUUGUACUCUGUCGUCGUACAAAAAAAAUACCACUUAAAACCCUCUUACGAGAUCAGUUCUGAAUUGUAUUCAAAAUAACAAACCCAUCAAAUACACUAUGCAGCCUACAGAACUCUUUAAUGGUGAAGUUCGAGAUUAUCCCAACUGAGAAUGAUUGGAAAAUCAUUAAACAACUCGAAUUCAAACAGUGCUUAUUUUCACAAGAACACGUUCCAACGAAAGUGAACACCUUUCAGCCUGAUCAAAAAUGACAAAUCCCUACCUAUCACUUCUACACAUAGAUGGCUCACGCAUGUUCUAAAUAAUAUUUCCAAGACAAAUUUAAACAUCCGACCAUUACAUAUAUUAGUGUCACAAAUUUCUAAAUACUCGUUACUAAGAUUUAUGCACAAAUAUGUAAUCUACUAUAUAAUAAGUUUUCUUUAAGUUACGGCUACUCAUGAAACUACAGACUCUCGUAACCUAUGAAAUCCAACAAUUAGAUUUCGAAGAAGCUAGCUAGAUGUCCGACUUGAAUCAGCUGAUCGGAACAAUGUUUACGUUCAGUGAUUUUCGAUUAAGGAAAACAAAUAAACAAAACGCUUAUGACUCUUAUUCUGCAACUACUGAAAGAAGCUCCAGUCAAACAACCAGAGGCGGAUCCGUUAGAAUGGGAUAUCCUUUUAUUUUAAAAUUAUAUGUACAAGUGUGCUGAAUAAAUGAGAUUGAUUUCAC